UUUAAGAUUUUGUGAGAGAGAAAAAAGGAAAUUAGAUUCUUAAGAGAAAAAAAAAAAUUCUCCUAAGAUUGAGUUUUCUUCUUCCGUAGGAUUAAAUCAGGUCAGAUUCUUAGGAGAAUUUUUCUGAAAGAAGAAACCGAAGAACAAAACUCAAUCUUCUUUUCAGUUAACCCCAGAUAUCUUUGAGCGACAUGAAAAUCAAAUAAAAAAUCUUUUGGACGAGAUUAUUCCCGCUUGGUGUGAAUCUGUGCAACUAAAAGCCCCAAAAUCAUGAAGAAUUGCAUCCAAUUUCAUCUCCAUCUUAUGAGAGAACUUAUCUGAUUUGGAUUAUGGUGUUUUUACUGUUUCUGAUUUGCCUACACACGAGAAUCUGAGUGGAGAGUCAGACUAUGAUGGGUAUGCUGACUAAAGCCUUGCAUAAUUUGAAGGAGAGUUAAAGGGUCAAGGAGAUGAAAGUUAUGGUGAUAGCACCAGUUCUGAUGGAUCUAUCAAAAUUUUGACCAUCUUGAUUGUUGCGGGUUUUUAAACUCAGAGGGAAUGAUGAACAUGAAGGCAUCGAGACUACCAAGGAUCUUCUACAUCUACACAUCACUCGGCUCCUGCAACUACACAAGGAUCUCGUGCAUCUAGCCAGCAUUGAAAUGGAUUUACACCACCAUAUUCUUUUCCUACUAAGAAAUCUCCUACUUGAGAGAAGUCUUCUAUGCCUGAUUCCCCUAUUAGACACACUUCUCUAACUGAAACGCAGGAAUAUGAUACAGAUAAAAAAAUGUAUCUUGCAUCUAAGCAUCAGUCCUCUAACUCUCAACAUGCAUCUCAGUCGAUGGCAUCUAAAAAACUAAACUCCAAUGACUUGAAAAUGGACACUGGCCUAUAACACAUGGGUAUUGUUCUUUCAUCAGUGUCAGAUCAGGAAGUACAUGGAUUCUAAUUGAUGAUGAUUGCAUCAAAGUGUCGACUGAAUAAGCGAUAAAGACGGAUAAUUCAUUGCUCGUGCCAUCUCACGAGCUCAAAACAAUACUUGAUGUUGUUGAUAGUUUUGUAUCUUUGACGAAAAGACUUGUGAUCUCUUGCUCUAUUAUGCAGCCACUUUCAGAUCCUGAUGAACAUGGUGCUGGGACUAAGAAGAGAAAGAACAUUCAUAUUCGAGGAGCGAGGAACUGAAGUCUCGGAGAUCCAGCAAGAGACUCAAGACUGCAGGCUAAUUAUUAAGAGAAAUAGUCGAGGACUGUAGAAUUUGGAUGUUUAAACUUGUAAAUCUCCCUUUGAAAUUUUGUUAUUCUUAAGGUUAUUGCACAAUUGAUCAGAUAUGGAGACGUUUAUCAUAUGAUUAAUAAAAAUUAUUUUGGUUCAAUUCUAA
This is a long non-coding RNA of Papaver somniferum (opium poppy), 1360 nucleotides long. RefSeq lists it as uncharacterized. NCBI's taxonomy places the organism in Eukaryota, Viridiplantae, Streptophyta, Magnoliopsida, Ranunculales, Papaveraceae. The transcript is spliced from 6 exons. The record is from RefSeq and is a predicted model, not a curated record.